RNAcentral lists this ribosomal RNA (411 nucleotides) under Nemogullmia sp. A308. RNAcentral describes it as "bacterial SSU rRNA". It matches the Rfam family "Eukaryotic small subunit ribosomal RNA", at positions 1207 to 1449 of the family's 1831-position model. The record is from RNAcentral. Lineage: Eukaryota; Foraminifera; Lagynidae.
GGGAAAUCUUACCGGGUCCGGACACACUGAGGAUUGACAGGCAAUCAUGUAGAUGUGUCAUCGGGGCUAGCUCUGCUGGUCUUGCUUGACCGUCUACAUAUAAAUAUGCUAGUCCUUUCAUGAUUAUGUGAUAGGUGGUGCAUGGCCGUUCUUAGUUCGUGGAGUGAUCUGUCUGCUUAAUUGCGUUUCGCACUGGACUUAAAAAACAAGUGCGCUUCUUUCCUUGUGUGCGCCGUGCAGGAAUUCGUGUUUGACGGAAUAUUGUGUUUGGUAAGUCCAAUAUUGUAGUUGCACAUUUGCGGCUGUAGUGUUGCGUCAUUAUCACCUUUAUCUCCUAGCGUUUUCAUUUAACUGCUGCGGUCACAUUUAAUUACGGGAUUGCUUGCGCAUAUUAGGUCCUGAAAGCAACGA